RNAcentral lists this ribosomal RNA (497 nucleotides) under uncultured bacterium. Its description in RNAcentral is "partial 16S ribosomal RNA". It matches the Rfam family "Bacterial small subunit ribosomal RNA", at positions 28 to 507 of the family's 1533-position model. The record is from RNAcentral.
GACGAACGCUGGCGGCGUGCCUAAUACAUGCAAGUUGAGCGCUGAAGGUUGGUACUUGUCCCAACUGCGUGAGCCGCGCACGGGUGAGUAACGCGUGUGGCAUCUGCCUUUGAGUGGGGUACCACCUUUGGACUCGAAUGCUAAUACCGCAUAAAAACUUUAAACACAAGUUUUAAGUUUGAAAGAUGCCAUUGCAUCACUCACAGAUGAUCCCGCGUUGUUUUAGCUAGGUGGUGGGGUAAAGGCGCAUCAAGGCGAUGAUACAGAGCCGACCUGAGCGGGUGGUCGGCCACAUUGGGACUGUGACACGCCACAAACGCACACGGGAAGCAGCAGUAGUGAAACGGGGGCAAGGGGCGAAAGUCUGACCGAGAAGCGCCGCGGGAGGGAAGAGGGGUUUCGGAUCGUAAAUCACGGUUGGUAGGGAAGAACGUGGGUGAGAGUGGAAAGCUCAUCAAGUGACGGUAACUACCCAGAAAGGGACGGCUAACUACGUG